GUCUCGAAUCUUUGCGGAUUAGAGCUACGGAACAAUAAGGAUUUAGUGGCGGACGGGUGAGUAACACGUUGGUACCUACCCCUUAGUGGGGAAUAACUUCGAGAAAUCGAGGCUAAUACCGCAUAAUAUCUACGGAUUAAAGCAUUUAUGCGCUAAGGGAGGGGCCUGCGUCUGAUUAGCUAGUUGGUGAGGUAAAAAGCUCACCAAGGCGACGAUCAGUAGCUGGAUCGAGAGGUUGACCAGCCACACUGGGACUGAGAUACGGCCCAGACUCCUACGGGAGGCAGCAGUGAGGAAUCUUCCACAAUGGACGAAAGUCUGAUGGAGCAAUGCCGCGUGCAGGAUGACGGCCUUCGGGUUGUAAACUGCUUUUAUAUGGGAAGAUUAUGACGGUACCAUAUGAAUAAGGACCGGCUAACUACGUG
This 425-nucleotide ribosomal RNA is filed under the name uncultured bacterium. RNAcentral's name for it is "bacterial SSU rRNA". It matches the Rfam family "Bacterial small subunit ribosomal RNA", at positions 61 to 507 of the family's 1533-position model. The record is from RNAcentral.